CCCUAGCUGGGAGGGGCCGCAAGGCGCACCCAGCGGCAGAUUAGCCGGUUAGUGCUGCUUUUCAAGAAAACACCGGCAGUC
This 81-nucleotide small RNA is filed under the name Rhodoferax antarcticus ANT.BR. Its description in RNAcentral is "Proteo-phage-1 RNA". It matches the Rfam family "Proteo-phage-1 RNA". Lineage: Bacteria; Pseudomonadati; Pseudomonadota; Betaproteobacteria; Burkholderiales; Comamonadaceae. The record is from Rfam by way of RNAcentral.